AAAUAAAUAAAAUAGGUUCCUUAUCUCUAUGUGAUUUAUAUCCUAUGUCAAGCAUUAAAUACCUCAGAAGAAAAACCCUACUUAUUUUUAUCUUUAGCAGGCAAUACAGAGGCAGGUUCAUUGUGCUUAUAAAAGAUUAGAUAAAGAGUUAGAUGUAAGAGCAAUUGAAUAUUUUUCACAUUUUAAAAAAAUUUUAAGUCUUAGUCUCUCCAAAAAAACGUUGUAAAAGAGACAGCCUUGAUAAUCGGAUAGUCCAAGUGCUCCCUCGUAAGUUUCAGACCUCUUUGCAGUUGUCAGGGACAGACAAAUAGUUUCAUCCAGUAACAAAUGAGUAGAUGUGACACGUGUCACUUGUGAGCCAAGGCAUUUAGGAGACCAUGCAUAAGCCUCCAACUUUCUCUCCUUUACCUUUGGCAAGCUCAAAUUCAUAUGUUGAGACAGAAAAGUCAAAAAUGGGGUACCGUGGACCACUGGAUGGAGAAAAGUCCUGCUAGGUUAUAGCAGACUCUUUCAAGAAAGAAAUAAAACUUGUUCUGUUAAGUAACUAAGAUUUUAGAAAUUAUCUGUUACCAUAACAUUGUCCAAUCUAUUUUAUUUUAUUUUAUUGAGACAGAGUUUCCCUCUGUUGCCCAGGCUGGAGUACAGUGGUGUGAUCUCAGCUCACUCCAACCUCUGCCUCCCAGGUUCAUGCAGUUCUCCUGCCUCAGCCUCCUGAGUAGAUGGGGUUACAGGGGCCUGCCACCAUGCCAUGGUAAAUGCAAGGAACAUUUUAUUCAACCGAACCCUGGAACUAGACCAGAAGAACUAUACAGAGAGCCAUGUCAGGCCUCUGGAAGGUAUGCCGUUUCACAAGGGGGUAGAACUGUCUAGAGGUCACAACACUGAACAUAUCCUCAAGUGAUUUGCUCUUUUAGAAAGUGAGUGCUGUCUGGAAAUCAGCAAAAUCUUCCCUGAGUCUUUUGCCAAACUCUUCUUGAAUUGUACCUAAAGUACCUGAUCUGGCGUAUGUAAGUGUGAUUUUCAUGGUAUGUGCAUCGUGCCAGAAACCCAGGUGAUCUGGGCAGUCCCUCCUCUCCCUUGCAUUGUGACUUGUUAUGUUCCACAGCCUCAGACAAUUUGCACAUUCUCUCCCACCUCACAAAACCCUUUAUCAUCUUCAUGAUGAAUUUUCACUGGAUCUCCUCAGCAAAGAGGUCAAACAAUGGAACCCUGACCUUAUGUAGAUUCAUCAAUCUCUAGUAUCCAGGCAACUUCAAAAAAAUCCAAAUUUCUGCUGACCAUAGUAGUGCAGUUAGCAUGCUGACAUUAGGGAAUUUAUAAAACCUCCUUGCACCUCAGUUUACUCAGGUGCAAGUCUGAUGCCAAUGAUGUGCCUCCCUUCCAAGACUGUUGUAAGGAUUAAAUGAGUAAGCCCAAGGUAAGAUCUGAGAACACUUUCUGAUCAAUAAGUGCCAUCUAGGAUAUCUAACCUAUGCUGUCGAUACUGCCAUAUGAGACUCUGGUGUGGAGUUGGUAGGAGACUGAUAUGGAUUGGCUGUGUCCCACCCAUAUCUCAUCUUGAAUUGUAUUCCCAUUAGGCCACAUGUUGUGGGAGGGACCUGGUGGGAAUAAUUUGAAUAAUGGGGAUGGUUUCCCCCAUACUGUUCUCAUGGUAGUGAACAAGUCUCAUGAGAUCUGAUGGUUUUAUCAGGGGUUUAUGCUUUUGCAUCUUCCUUUUUUUUCUCUUUGCCACUACCAUGUGAGAAAUGCCUUUCACCUCCCACCAUGAUUCUGAGGCCUCCCAGCCAUCUGGAACGGUGAGUCCAAUUAAACCUCUUUUUCUUUCCAGUCCUAGGCAUGCCUUUAACAGCAGUGUGAAAACAAACUAAUACAGUAAAUUGGUACCAGUAGAGUGAGAUGUUGCUGAAAAAAUACUGAAAAAUGUAGAAAUGACUUUGGACUUUGGUAAUAGGCAGAAAUCGGUUUGGAGG
This is a long non-coding RNA of Callithrix jacchus (white-tufted-ear marmoset), 1970 nucleotides long. The record is from Ensembl. Lineage: Eukaryota; Metazoa; Chordata; Mammalia; Primates; Cebidae.